UACGUAGGUGACAAGCGUUAUCCGGAAUUACUGGGCGUAAAGCGCACGCAGGCGGCGCCGUAAGUCUGAUGUGAAAUCUCCUGGCUUAACUGGGAGGGGUCAUUGGAAACUGUGGUGCUUGAGGCGAUGAGAGGGGUGUAGAAUUCCCGGUGUAGUGGUGGAAUGCGUAGAUAUCGGGAGGAAUACCAGUGGCGAAGGCGGGUCUCUGGGCAGUAACUGACGCUGAGGAGCGAAAGCGUGGGGAGCGAACAGG
RNAcentral lists this ribosomal RNA (253 nucleotides) under uncultured bacterium. RNAcentral describes it as "partial 16S ribosomal RNA". It matches the Rfam family "Bacterial small subunit ribosomal RNA", at positions 524 to 776 of the family's 1533-position model. The record is from RNAcentral.